Molecule: long non-coding RNA, 1061 nt
Filed under: Musa acuminata (dwarf banana)
Lineage: Eukaryota; Viridiplantae; Streptophyta; Magnoliopsida; Zingiberales; Musaceae
Description: long non-coding RNA (MACU_LNC003253)
Source: RNAcentral
UUUUUUAUCUGGAGAAGAUUCGGUACGCCCGCCCCGCGUCGCCUACGACCCCCAUAACCCUAGAUCGGCGAUCCUCCCUCCUCUACCUCCGUGUGCAAAGGCGGUCGACGGUUCGCCUCCCCCCUCCGACGUUGCGUCUCCCUCUCUCCUUCCCUCCAUCCUCUCCUUUCUCCGCUGUUACGCUUCCUCUUUCUCUACCUCCUCGUCGUCGCCGACGCCCACGGCCGAGCCUACGCCACUGCCCCUCUCUCCCUCCCUCCUUCUUCGUGCAUCUCCAUCUCUCCUUUCCUCUCACUGUCGCGCCCCCAGCCGUGCCACCCCGACGUCGCCGCGCCCCUCCCCCUCCUUCGUCCUCUGUGCUUCUUCCCAGGUCUUUUGGCUUCGUGCCUCUCUCGCUCUCUGUCUCCUCCAAGCGAGAUCUCCCCCCGUCCGUGAGAAGAACCUUCUUCAGGUAUUAUAUCUCUCCUCUCUCUCUCUAGUUUGAGCUUCUGGUAGGUUCAGAGAACCAAUUGUCUGCAACAAUCAAAGUAGUAGAUCUGUUACCUGUUUUCCGAAAGAUAAUUUCUAGCAACUUUACAGUGUUCGAUUAGUUCCUACCACUUGUCGACUACUUUGGCUGAAUAAUUUCGUCAGUAUCAUCUUUUCGGACACUAAAAUCUCAAUUAUUUUGCUUUGGGAUGAACUAAAGUUGAUAAAUAUGAUUAUAAAAAUAAAAAUGACACAUCAAAUCGAAAUCAUAUAGAGUAACUGACGGAGUAAAGAGGGAACUGAGAAGUAUAGUAACUGGUGGCUAUGGAGGAAGGUGGGGGAAGGAGAGGGCGGCAGAUGAAGUUGCUGCCGAAGGUGGUAACAGCGACAGAGGAAGCUGUGGACGAAGGCGGUGGUGGAUGAAAUUGCAUAGGAAGGCAGUAGCGAUAAACAAAAGUUGUUGAUGAAGGCGGCGACGACGACGGAGGAAGCUGUGGACGAAGGUGGUGGCUGCGGACAAAGGUGGCAGUGACGUACAUAGGGUUUCACUUCGAAGACAAAUUGGGCCGGGGGCGGGUUUUGUGUUAGGGAAG